Molecule: non-coding RNA, 291 nt
Organism: Saimiri boliviensis boliviensis (Bolivian squirrel monkey)
Lineage: Eukaryota; Metazoa; Chordata; Mammalia; Primates; Cebidae
Source: RefSeq, a predicted model, not a curated record
AGACGAAGAAGGGAAGUCACUUGUUUCACGGCCAGGGAAGGGCUCCAGCGAGGCAUGGGCUCCGGAGGUGUGUGAAGGCCCCGAGAGGUACAGGAUCUGUUCCCCCACCCUCCUUAGAUUGCAGCAGGGAAAGAGGUGUGUCUCCCGCAGAAAAAUGUGCAAGUUCUUUUAGAUGUGUGGCCUUGGAGCAAAUUAUUUAGCCUGUCUCUAUGUGCUCACCUGGAAAAUGGGAUGAUGAAGAUGGUGGUGAUGAUAAUGGGGAGUCCCUCUUGGAGCUGCUGGGCAGAUGAA